RNAcentral lists this ribosomal RNA (465 nucleotides) under Vreelandella stevensii. RNAcentral describes it as "partial 16S ribosomal RNA". It matches the Rfam family "Bacterial small subunit ribosomal RNA", at positions 338 to 795 of the family's 1533-position model. Lineage: Bacteria; Pseudomonadati; Pseudomonadota; Gammaproteobacteria; Oceanospirillales; Halomonadaceae. The record is from RNAcentral.
CCUACGGGUGGCUGCAGUGGGGAAUAUUGGACAAUGGGCGAAAGCCUGAUCCAGCCAUGCCGCGUGUGUGAAGAAGGCCUUCGGGUUGUAAAGCACUUUCAGUGGGGAAGAAAGCCUUGGGGCUAAUACCCUCGAGGAAGGACAUCACCCACAGAAGAAGCACCGGCUAACUCCGUGCCAGCAGCCGCAGUAAUACGGAGGGUGCGAGCGUUAAUCGGAAUUACUGGGCGUAAAGCGCGCGUAGGCGGUCUGAUAAGCCGGUUGUGAAAGCCCCGGGCUCAACCUGGGAACGGCAUCCGGAACUGUCAGGCUAGAGUGCAGGAGAGGAAGGUAGAAUUCCCGGUGUAGCGGUGAAAUGCGUAGAGAUCGGGAGGAAUACCAGUGGCGAAGGCGGCCUUCUGGACUGACACUGACGCUGAGGUGCGAAAGCGUGGGUAGCAAACAGGAUUAGAUACCCCAGUAGUC